CUGCUUGUUAGCUCUGGAGGAGUGACGGGAGGCGGAACUCCGUCCGAUCUCAGUCGCUACUCCGGGCGAACGGGAGCCGAAUCAGCGCCGCAGCAGCCGGACGGACCGGCUGAAGGUCUCUCCAUCUGCACCCCCAGCUCUCAGCUGCUGCCCGGGACCGCUCCCCGCGGGGUCUGGCGGAGCUUCGGCCCGAAAUGAUGUUGUUCUCUCGGAAGAAGAAGCAGACUGAAGAGGCGCGGAAACGGCUGGAAUAUCAGAUGUGCCUGGCCCGAGAAGCAGGUGCAGAUGAUAUCCUGGACAUAUCGAAGUGUGAGCUAUCUGAGAUUCCAGUCAGUGUCUUUUCCAUGUGUAGAGUCUUACAGAAGAAGGUUUUAAUCAUUCACACCAAUCACUUGUCAACACUGUUGCCAAAGUCAUGUAACAUCCAGGAUCUGUCGAUGCUGAAGAUUCUGGAUCUCCAUGACAACCAUCUCACCUUGCUCCCUGAGGACAUGGGUCAGCUCGUAUCCCUGCAGGUGCUCAAUGUGGAACAAAACCAUUUGAAAUUUCUCCCCAACUCUCUCUCAACCUUGGCCCAGCUUCAGACACUGAAUCUAAAAGGGAACCGGAUCCGGAAAGUGCCAGAAUCCCUGAAUGGACUGAGGAGCCUGCGGACAUUCGACAUUAGUCAGAAUCGAAUUCAGAUUCUCCCACAGGACCUGGCUCAUAUCCGGACACUGGAGUCCCUCAGUCUGGAUGCAGAAGCUAUGACGUAUCCUCCAGCCAGUGUGUGCAGCAACGGAACAGAAGCCAUCAAACAGUUUCUGUGCAAAGAGCUUGGAAUCAACUAUGUGCCUCCCUCUCAAUACCUGCUGUCGGUUCUGGAGAGUGACGGCAAUAUACUAGAGAAUGAUGGGGUGGAUGGCAUGUUCCGACAACAGAUGCAGGAGGCAGAGCAGUGGCAGAGCAAAUUCAUGGACUACGAAAAGAGGAAGGAACAGAAGCAGCAGGAGAAGCUGGAUUUUGAACGGCGGCUAAACGAGGAGCAGCGGGAGAGGACACAGCUCAUCAUGCAGAGCAACAGUCAAAAGGAGCAAGUCCUGAUGUCGGUGAAGCAGGAGCAAGGGAAGCUGGAUCAGGGUCUCCGUGACCAGCAGCGCUAUUUGGAGGUAGAGCGUCAGCGGCUACAGGAGGAGCUGAAACAAGGAGAGCGUGGAGCCACAAACCUUAUCCACAAUCUGCUGGAGGACAGUGAGAGAAGAAAGCAGAACUCAAUGCUGCUAGAAUCACUGGAAAAAGAAAGACUGAGGAUGGAUCAGCUGAUGGCAAUUUCACAGGAAGAGAACGAGAGGCUACGAAAGAGAGAGGUGGCAGCUGCAAUGCAGGAGAUGCUGUCCGAAAGCUCAAUGAACAAGAUCCUGCAGAUGGUCUAUGAGACAAGGCGACGCCAGUUGGUGGACGAGGCCAGCUCCAGCAUGGCUGAAAUGGAUGGUAAACUUCAGCAGGUCCAGGCCUGGCAGCAACUGGAUCAGAGCAAGACCAUUGGGCAGAUUCUGUCUGAGGCAGAGAUGCAGAAGGUGGCAUUUGAGGCGCUUCAGGUGAAGAAGGACAGUAAGCAUACACGCAUCAGAGACCAGAUCAAAUUGAUUGAGAAUGAGUUAAUGCAACUGACACAGAUCGAGUUAGACAGAAGAGAGAUUGACACAGAGAAUCUUCAGGGAACACUGAUGGAAGAGCGACAAGCACUGAGUGAUCUCCUGCAGCAGCUACUGAAAGAGAAGAAACAGCGAGAGAAGGAGCUUCGGGACCUGCUGGCGGAAAUGGAAACUAAACACGAGACCAAUCAGGAGAAUUACUGGCUGAUUCAGUAUCAGCGUCUGAUGGAUCAGAAACCUUUGUCUCUCCGAGCACGGGAGGAAGGUGUGGAGAAGGCCCUGGUGGAUCUGUUAGCUGAGCUCUCGGCAGAUCAGUACCUGCCCCUUUUUGCCCACCAUCGGGUCACCCUAAAGAUGCUUUGUUACAUGACUGUAGAGGAUCUCCAACAGAUUGGAGUCAAGGAGAGCAGAUUACAACGGGCUAUACUCCGCCGUGUCCAAGAGGGUCUGCCUAGGGAAGAUCGGAGAUUCGUCCCAGUGAAAGAAGCUGCUGCUGACCUGGGUGAGGUCCAGCCCAGUGCUCCUGUGGAGAGUGAAGCAGGACCCUCUAGUCCAAGUGCGCCUGUCCCUGAGGAGGUCCUGGCUCAGUCAGAAUGUGUUGUCUGUAUGGAGCGAGAGAGUCAGAUGAUCUUCUUACCCUGUGGCCAUGUUUGCUGCUGUCAGACGUGUGGAGCAGAGCUGCAUGCUUGCCCUCUCUGCCGGAAAGACAUCGAACAAAAGAUCCGCAUGUAUCGUACAUCCUGAGUUACAGCCUGCCCAUGUCCAAUGUAUGUGUGCCUCAGAAUGCUCGCGGUUACCAGAAACCAUCCCUGGGGUUUAGAUCCGUCCUCCUGGAGGCUCCUAGGAGAAAGAAGCCCUCCUGGAUUGGACUCCAUUGCUAAGGAUCUGUGUGCAACCUCGUCCACUUCAUCACAGCCUGCUGGUGCCUUAUUUGACCUCCUCCUCCAGCCCCACUCCCCUACACAGAUAAACCAGAUUACGUUUACUCUCAAUAAAACUGUGGAGUAGCCUCCAGGCUGGACAACUUGAGCUGGUCCUCAUGGGCAGGUGAUUUGCUCCUGGUUUGGCCUGAAUUGUGUUGGCAGUAAUGUUAGUUGAUCUGUGUUAUGCUGCCAUAACGUAGUAUUGUGUUGGAACUGGAUUUAUCACUAAUCCCUUGAGUGGGCAACAAGCAGAAAACUGGAACUGAAAAAAUAAGACUUUUGUUUUCUUGCUGCUGUAUGUUUAUGCUUUUUGUUCCUGGAGAUAUAUUGGAAUACGACUAGGAGUUGGUGCAACCAAUCUAAAGAGAACCCAAGUGGAUGUACAGUCAGUUUGAACUGAGUCCUUGUGCACCUACAGCACUCCCAACACCCCUUCCAUACCAUCCAUAUCGUCCAGUUGUUCAGUACUCUGCAGAAAAGAAGUGAAGCAUCAUAGAAUGGCUACAGCACAGAAGGCCAUUCAGCCUGUCAUGUCCAUGCCGGCGCUCUGCAAGAGCAACUUACCUAGUCUCACUCUCCUCCCUUUCCCUGUAGCCCUGCAAAUCUUUUCUCUCCAA
Molecule: RNA transcript, 3174 nt
Organism: Carcharodon carcharias (great white shark)
Lineage: Eukaryota; Metazoa; Chordata; Chondrichthyes; Lamniformes; Lamnidae
Gene: lrsam1
Gene name: leucine rich repeat and sterile alpha motif containing 1
Exons: 25
Source: RefSeq, a predicted model, not a curated record